Molecule: ribosomal RNA, 464 nt
Filed under: uncultured bacterium
Lineage: Bacteria
Description: partial 16S ribosomal RNA
Rfam family: Bacterial small subunit ribosomal RNA
Source: RNAcentral
GACGAACGCUGGCGGCGUGCUUAACACAUGCAAGUCGAACGGAAAGGCCUCUUUCGGGGGGUACUCGAGUGGCGAACGGGUGAGUAACACGUGAGUAACCUGCCCUUGACUUUGGGAUAACUUCAGGAAACUGGGGCUAAUACCGGAUAGGAGCUCCUGCUGCAUGGUGGGGGUUGGAAAGUUUCGGCGGUUGGGGAUGGACUCGCGGCUUAUCAGCUUGUUGGUGGGGUAGUGGCUUACCAAGGCUUUGACGGGUAGCCGGCCUGAGAGGGUGACCGGCCACAUGGGGACUGAGAUACGGCCCAGACUCCUACGGGAGGCAGCAGUGGGGAAUAUUGCACAAUGGGUGGAAGCCUGAUGCAGCAACGCCGUGUGCGGGAUGACGGCCUUCGGGUUGUACCGCUUUCGCCUGUGACGAAGCGUGAGUGACGGUAAUGGGUAAAGAAGCACCGGCUAACUACGUG